RNAcentral lists this ribosomal RNA (1422 nucleotides) under uncultured archaeon. Its description in RNAcentral is "bacterial SSU rRNA". It matches the Rfam family "Archaeal small subunit ribosomal RNA". The record is from RNAcentral.
CCCGACUGCUAUUUGGGUGAGACUAAGCCAUGCGAGUUGAAUGGAAUACCUAAAUUUUCCAUGGCAAACUGCUCAGUAACACAUGAUCAACUUACCCUAUGGAAAAAAAUAACCUCGGGAAACUGAGGAUAAUAUUUUAUAGUUGAAAAGGCUUGGAAAAGUUUUUCAAUGAAUGGAUUAAGAAAAAUGGUUCUUAAUUGCCAUAGGAUAGGAUCGUGGUCGAUUAUGGUUGUUGGUGAGGUAACGGCUCACCAAGCCGAUAAUCGAUAGGGGCCGUGAGAGCGGGAGCCCCGAGAUGGGUACUGAGACAACGACCCAGGCCUUACGAGGCGCAGCAGGCGCGAAACCUCCGCAAUACACGAAAGUGUGACGGGGUUACCCAAAGUGUUCAAUCUUGAACUGUGGUAGGUGGGUAAUAUCCCCUACUAGAAAGGAGAGGGCAAGGCUGGUGCCAGCCGCCGCGGUAAAACCAGCUCUUCAAGUUGUCGGGAUAAUUAUUGGGCUUAAAGCGUCCGUAGCCGGUUUAGAAAGUUCCUGGUAAAAUCGGGUAGCUUAACUAUCUGUAUGCUAGGAAUACUCCUGUACUAGAGGGCGGGAGAGGUCUGAGGUACUACAGGGGUAGGGGUGAAAUCUUAUAAUCCUUGUAGGACCACCAGUGGCGAAGGCGUCAGACUGGAACGCGCCUGACGGUGAGGGACGAAAGCCAGGGUAGCGAACCGGAUUAGAUACCCGGGUAGUCCUGGCCGUAAACGAUGCAUACUAGGUGAUGGUACGGCCAUGAGCCGUGUCAGUGCCGUAGGGAAACCGUUAAGUGUGCCGCCUGGGAAGUACGGUCGCAAGGCUAAAACUUAAAGGAAUUGGCGGGGGAGCACCACAAGGGGUGAAGCCUGCGGUUCAAUUGGACUCAACGCCGGGAAACUUACCAGGGGAGACAGCAGAAUGAAGGUCAGGUUGACGACCUUACCCGACGAGCUGAGAGGAGGUGCAUGGCCGUCGCCAGUUCGUGCUGUGAGGUAUCCUGUUAAGUCAGGCAACGAACGAGAUCCGCGCCUUUAUUUGCCAGCAAGAAGUCACGACUUCGUUGGGAACACUAAAGGGACCGCCAUCGAUAAGAUGGAGGAAGGAGCGGGCAAAGGCAGGUCAGUAUGCCCCGAAACCCCUGGGCUACACGCGGGCUGCAAUGGUAUGAACAAUGGGCUGUAACUCCGAAAGGAGAAACCAAUCCCGAAAUCAUAUCUCAGUUGGGAUUGUCGGCUGUAACCCGCCGACAUGAACGUGGAAUCCCUAGUAAUCGUGUGUCAUCAUCGCACGGUGAAUACGUCUCUGCUCCUUGCACACACCGCCCGUCGCUCCAUCCGAGUGCACUAAAGAUGAGGUCUGGUCAGACUGGUCAUAUCGAGUUUCUAGUACGCGAGGAGGGAG